GCCUGGGUGGCUCAGUCGGUUGAGCAUCCGACUUCAGCUCAGGUCACGAUCUCGCGGUCCGCGAGUUCGAGCCCCGCGUCGGGCU
This is a transfer RNA of Felis catus (domestic cat), 85 nucleotides long. It matches the Rfam family "tRNA". Rfam says of the family: Transfer RNA (tRNA) molecules are approximately 80 nucleotides in length. Their secondary structure includes four short double-helical elements and three loops (D, anti-codon, and T loops). Further hydrogen bonds mediate the characteristic L-shaped molecular structure. tRNAs have two regions of fundamental functional importance: the anti-codon, which is responsible for specific mRNA codon recognition, and the 3' end, to which the tRNAs corresponding amino acid is attached (by aminoacyl-tRNA synthetases). tRNAs cope with the degeneracy of the genetic code in two manners: having more than one tRNA (with a specific anti-codon) for a particular amino acid; and 'wobble' base-pairing, i.e. permitting non-standard base-pairing at the 3rd anti-codon position. The record is from Rfam. Lineage: Eukaryota; Metazoa; Chordata; Mammalia; Carnivora; Felidae.